Molecule: long non-coding RNA, 300 nt
Filed under: Equus caballus (horse)
Lineage: Eukaryota; Metazoa; Chordata; Mammalia; Perissodactyla; Equidae
Description: lncRNA (ENSECAG00000058842.1)
Source: RNAcentral
AGAAGGCUGAGGAAAAGGCAGCACACCCAGCGACGCAAAGAUGCUGCUGUCAGAUGUUCUGUUCAUCCUCCUUUUCAUUUGCUGCUGUCCAUCCCUCCAUUCCUGACGUUUUCGGACACCAGCUCCUGCCAGCUGGGAGCACAAGGAGACCAGGAUUACUAUUAGAUUAGCGAAUCGGGGAGUCCAGAGAGCUGAGGUAUGUGGAUUUUGGCAAAGACUCUCAAGGCACUGCGUAAACAAGAUGGAGAAAUGUGAAUUGGAAAUAUCACCUCACAACCCUGGCCGUGAGGACCACCUGAC